Molecule: ribosomal RNA, 468 nt
Filed under: uncultured bacterium
Lineage: Bacteria
Description: partial 16S ribosomal RNA
Rfam family: Bacterial small subunit ribosomal RNA
Source: RNAcentral
GACGAACGCUGGCGGCGUGCUUAACACAUGCAAGUCGAACGGAAAGGCCCUGCUUUUGUGGGGUGCUCGAGUGGCGAAAGGGUGAGUAACACGUGAGUAACCUGCCCUUGACUUUGGGAUAACUUCAGGAAAAUGGGGCUAAUACCGGAUAGGAGCUCCUGCUGCACGGUGGGGGUUGGAAAGUUUCGGCGGUUGGGGAUGGACUCGCGGCUUAUCAGCUUGUUGGUGGGGUAGUGGCUUACCAAGGCUUUGACGGGUAGCCGGCCUGAGAGGGUGACCGGCCACAUUGAAACUGAGAUGCGGCCCGGACUCCAACGGGAGGCAGCAGUGAGGAAUAUUGCACAAUGGGCGGAAGCCUUGUGCAGCAACGCCGCGUGCGGGAUGACGGCCUUCGGAUUGUAAACCGCUUUCGCCUGUGACGAAGCGUGAGUGACGGUAAUGGGUAAAGAAGCACCGACUAACUACGUG